AUUUACUUAGAAUAAAUAAUUUGUUUAUUAGAUACUGCUUUUCUGAUUUUUUUUAUUCUAUAAAAGUAUUUAGAUAAUAGCUCCUUCAACUUGAAUUAUUAUGUAAAUUCAUAAAAGCUUUCAAAUACGGUAUUGUUCAUUACUCUUCCAAGCAAAUUCAUAAAAUUUGUUGUUCAUUAUCAUCAUUAAAUCCUUACCUCUUGUGAUUAGUUACUGGUAUCCUAAAUUCUCAGCAACUCUUGCAAACAUCUAAAAUUCCAAUUACCAUACCUGUUCCUUUAAGUCGUCCAUCUCCUAGUGCAAAAGGCCAAUGCUAUAAAACUCCUAAUCCCAAUUGUUUCUCAACUUUUAAGGAGGCUUUUCAACUUUUGUCAAGAAUUAGCAAACCUCUGAAUCCAUGCAAAACAAGCAAGGUGUAGCCUUUAAUUUUUGCUAUUGUUUUUAUUUAUUUAGUUAUUUAUUGUCUUGUGUAUUUGCCAGCAGGGUGGGGCCCUUUGUUUAUUACGAACAGACAGAGGGUUAUAUUUCUUUGUAUUUAUGGACAGGAAUUUAAAGAAUGUAGAUACCAUGGGCUACAAUGUUUAGUUAAAUUGAAUAAAAGAGGUUGGCAUUCAUUGCAACUUUGAAGGCACUGGCAGACAUAUGUUAAAGAAUUCGACUAAGCCAAAUCGACCACAUUGCAAUGAAAGAUGAAAAUAGUUUUAUUGUUUUAUAGCCGCUAGUUAACGUCUACACCCCAAAACAUUACUGUCAAGAUGCAUACAGUGUAAAAACACCUUACGAUAUUGAAGAUAUGGGUACCAUCCUUUCUAUCAGUUUAAUAUUCAUUUUCAGACCAUAGCUGAGCUGAGCUGAGCAUGUCCUGCUGAUGGAACUAUGAUAGUCAGUUCAUGAACUGGUUUCAUUUAGCACAAAAAGAUGCACACAUUGAAAUCGGCAAAGAAAUUCUAAGAAAGCUCACAGCUCACAAUCUAUAGAUUUUUUUUUUUCAUUGCAAGGCAUGAUGGUUGCCGAUAUGAAGGAUUUUACAACUAAUGAAGAUCCCAUGAAACCAGAAAGCUUAAAGCAUGUAUAUAGUUCUUGAAAGUUUAGAUUAGAUGAACUCGAAAAGAAUAUAGACUAUGGCAUGCGUGUUGAUCACAGAAAAACUGUCCCACACUACUUGAAUAUGCUAAUAUUGGACCUAAAAAGCAAUUGUUACCAGACACAAGGCUUGUCCCUAUUAUUGGUGAAAAUAUUUGAUCUCACCUUUCCAGACAAAACUAAGAAAGACGUAUGGUCAAGUCAAGUGGGCUUCAUGUCCUGAAACAGUGCUGCCCAUAUUGUAUGAUCACCGUAGUCCAAGCCUGCCUUUUCUUUGUUGUAGUCACCAUGAACCUUUGGGCUCGGUCGUCUUACAUAACUAAGAGGUCCAGGCAGUUUUGGGCUCCUAUUUGUGAACAUUAACCUCUUGUGCCGUGGCAAUAUCAAUAGGGCCUGUUGUUAUCGGCCACCUAUAAUUGAACACCAACUUCUCCUGCAUUUUUCUAGCUUGGGGCUGGGAUAAUUUUAUUCUCAUUUAACACUAAAUUUUGGACAAAUCCCUUACCUAAAGCUAUGAGCAGGCCUACAACUAUGGGAAUAGAUCAGACCUGAUCAUUCCCUUGAGCCCAACUUCCUUUGAGUUUGGUCAGCAGCUCAUUGCAAUUAUAAAAUUUAUAAUUUUUUAUUCAGGAGCUUAAAAAAUUUUCUUCUUUUUUGGAUAAAUCAGUAUAAAUUUUUUAAAAUUCUACUAAAUUUAUAAAAUUUACAAAAAAUUUAAAAAUAUUAUACAAAUUUUUUGUCAAGACGAAAUCUAAAUCGUUGAAGGAAGAAUAAACAUAUACUAUUUAUUGAUAAAAAACUCCACUAAUUUAUAUUCUUUUAAAAAAUAUACCUUUUAAUUAUACAUAGCUGAGAAAAAUAACAAAUUAUUAGUAUACCUAUUUCUCUUAGUAAUUAAGUUUUAAAAAAUGCAUAUUUAUCAAAUAUUUAACAAAAAAUAAACAAAUAUCAUCAUAUAAUGAAAUCAAUAAUUAAAUAAAGAAUAAAUUAUAUAUUCUUAUUCCCUUGCAUAACUGAUAGUUUUUUAGUUUGCAAAUAAUUUGUGUCAGUUGACGCUAAGUCAAAGUCUAUUGAUAGACUAUAAACCAUUCAUCAAGUAGAAGCAAGAAACACGGCAAACAAUGUAAUAAAGAUGACUUUUUGUUUAUUUGACUACUUCCACACCAAAUUUAUAUAUUCCAAGAAAGAGAGAGGAGGAAUCCACCAUCCUAUCAUGAGGUUGGCGUGUAAACCUAUCCAUACGUUCCAUGGUUGAUGCCAAAGUCAAGGUCUCCUAAAUAAUAAUACAGUUGCUAAACAAAAGUCUAGCAUCACCUAGUCAUGGCAAUGAAUAUACGUUCCAUCUUCCUCCCUAACUUGAUAUAGGUAGAAAAGUUACAAUGGGCCAUAAUGUCUCCCCUUAGUUGUGGAAAUAUUUAAUAUUGACAUGGAAUUUGACAAUAACCCUAGCAAGGUUAGCAAAUAAAAAAAAAAAAAACUAAAUAGAGGCAUUGCUUAGUAUGGGGAUAAAAAAUAAAAAAUAAGAUAAAAAUAAAAUAUAAAAAAUAUAUAUUUUAUUUUUAUCAAUGUGCUUUGUUAAAAAAAUGAAAAAGAAAGAAAAUGUAAUUUUUCAUGCAUUGUUUGGUAGAGUUAGAAAAUGGAAGAAAAAAAAUUAUGAUAUUAUUAUUAUAACCUUUUGUAAAAAAAUUUAAAUAUGAUGGAUAAUUUUAUAAAUAUGUAACACAUUAUUAUAGCCGAGAAAAAUAACAAAUUAUUAGUAUACCUAUUUCUCUUAGUAAUUAAGUUUUAAAAAAUGCAUAUUUAUCAAAUAUUUAACAAAAAAUAAGCAAAUAUCAUCAUAGCGAAAUCAAUAAUUAAAUAAAAAAUAAAUUAUAUAUUCUUAUUCCCUUGCAUAACUGAUAGCUUUUUAGUUUGCAAAUAAUUUGUGUCAGUUGACGCUAAGUCAAAGUCUUUUGAUAGACUGUAAACCAUUCAUCAAGUAGAAGCAAGAAACACGGCAAACAAUGUAAUAAAGAUAACUUUUUGUUUAUUUGACUACUUCCACACCAAAUUUAUAUCUUCCAGGAAAGAGAGAGAGGAGGAAUCCACCAUCCUAUCAUGAGGUUGGCGUGUAGACUGAUCCAUCGUUCUAUUUCAUAGUUGAUGCCAAAGUCAAGGUCUCCUAAAUAAUAAUACAGUUGCUAAACAAAAGUCUAGACAUCAACUAGUCAUGACAAUGAAUUAAUAUAUGUAAUAUCUUCCUCCCUAACUUGAUAUAGGUAGAAAAGCUACAAUGGGCCAUCAUGUCUCCCUUUAGUUGUGGAAAUAUUUAAUAUUGACAUGAAAUUUGGCAAUAACCCUAGCAAGGUUGGCAAACAAAAAAAAAUUACUAAAUAGAGGCCUUGCUUAGUAUGGGAAUAGAAAAAUAAAAAGAUAAAAAAUUGAAAGAAAAAAUUGAAAAGAUAAAAAAUAUAUAUUUUAUUUUUAUUGAUGAGCUUGGUUAAAAAAAUGAAAAAGAAAGAAAAUAUAAUUUUUUUCAUUCAUUGUUUGGUAGAGUUAGAAAAUGAAAGAAAAAAAAUAUGAUUUUAUUAUUAUAACAUUUUGUAAAAAAAUCUAAAUAUGACGGAUAAUUUUAUAAAUAUGUAACACAUGCUCAUACCUCUUCUAUUUUCUUUCAUCUUUUCUUUUACAUUUGGAGUGAUUUAUUUGUAUUAAUAAGUGUGAAAAAUAAUAAUCUUUUUUUUUAUUUUUCUUUUUUACCAAACAUAGCGAAAAUUUAUUUUUUUUCCACUUUUUCACCUUGUUUUAUUCAUCUUUUCACUUUUUUUACUAUGGAAUACAUCCUAAAAUUGUUUUAGCAACAAAAAAAAAAUGAAGCUGUUAAAAAGGAAACUAAAGUAUUCUAAAAAUUAAAUUAAAAAACAAAACAAAAGUUUUAAUAAGGAUUUACAAAGAAAAAAAAAAGUAAGCACUAAUUUUUGUUAGCAGUGUCACUACAAGUCAUUAAUGAUGUUAUAAUUAAGAUGGAGUGUUUAUUAUAAUUGUCAGAGUCUGUGCUUACUUUUCCACAAAGAAAAUUUGUAGGAAACUUCAUGCAAUGUGUUUUCUUGGUGCUAUGGAAUUUGACAAGUACGUCAAGACUGAGUGUGCCAUUUUCAAUGAAUUUUUAGGAAACAAGGCUGUAUCUUUUCAAGUGACUUUUUAGUAUAUAAACCCCAUGGAUAUAGUGAUGCCAAAUGCAUAGAAGCAUAGUUAAUAUUAAGUUUUUUUAGAGUGCAUUAAUUAAUUGAGAUGGAGUGGAAAUGGUUAUGGGUGGUUUUGGUAGCAUUCCUAUUAGGAAGGUGUUGUGAAUGUGAAAGGUGCUGGGAGCAAGAAAAAAUUGCUCUUUUGCAACUCAAACCUUUCUUUACUCAUAUUGAAGAUGUAAAAAAUUAUUGGGUGGAUGAGGGAAAACAGAGUUCAGAUUGUUGUCAGUGGAAAAGGGUUGAGUGCAACACCUCCACUGGACGAGUGAUCCGACUCUUCCUUAAUCUUACAACUACUGCAGUCUAUGGUGAUUUAGUUUAUAAUUAUUAUUUGGAAGAGUACGAUUGGAGUGGGAGAGAUUCUUGGUAUCUCAAUGCCUCUUUGUUUCUUCCUUUUGAGGAAUUGAAGAGUCUUUAUUUGGGUGGCAAUUCUAUUGCUAGUUGUGUUGACAAUCAAGGUUAAUUCAUAUUCACCUAAUUACUAACUGCUACUUCAAUAAGUAUUUUGCAUUUGAAAAUUCAUUUUUAUUGAUUACCAGUUUUGUUCAUCUUAUCUAAAUAUUUUUUAUUUCAGUUUUUUCGAAAAGUCACUAAAUGCUACAUUUUUCCUUGUAGGUUUUGAAAGGCUGUCACUGAAAUUGGACAAACUAGAGAUCCUUGACUUAAGUGUUAAUCAAUUCAAUGAUAGCAUUUUAGCAUCUUUAAGCGAACUUUCAUCACUCAAGUCUUUAAAUCUAGCAGAAAACCAAUUCACUGGGUCAAAUCCUAUAGAGGGUAAUGUUAAUAUUCUGUUAUAUAUAAAAAUCAAGUUAAAGUAAAUAACGUUUGUUUCGUAAUUGAAAUAUAUAUAUUUAUAAAAUAGUGAUUAUUUACUAAAAUUUUGUAAAAUUAUUGGAAACAGGUAUGAAGAGGUUAUCAAAAUUGAACAAGUUAGAGACUCUGGAUUUAUAUGGCAAUGUAUUAGGAAACAACAUCCUAUCACAUCUAGAUGAUUUUACAUCUUUAAAAUCUUUGCGUUUGCAGAAUUGCGGAUUAAAAGGAACUGUUAAUUUGCGAGGUAGGGUUGUUUUAAAAAUCUCAUGGUUUUAAAAAGGAAUAACUAGAUUGAUAUAUAUUUGAUUUGAUUUGAACAGAAUUCAAUAAUUUGACAAACUUAAAGGAGUUGUAUUUAGACCAAAAUCAAAUUGAGAGUCUCGGAUCUUUAUUCAAAGUGUAAGUCAACAUAUACUGAAUUUGAAUAAUAAAUAUAUAUAAUAAUUAGAUUUCUUUUAAGAUGAAAUUAUGUUACUAAUCUUUCACAGAAUGAACAAUUGAGGUUGAUCAAACUUGAGGUGCUUGGUUUAAGUGAAAAUCUCCUUCAACAACAGCAUAUUCUUAUCUCUUGCUAUGCUCUCAAAUUUGAAGUCUUUGUAUAUAGAAAGUAACAAAUUGGAUGGGCCGAUACANNNNNNNNNNNNNNNNNNNNNNNNNNNNNNNNNNNNNNNNNNNNNNNNNNNNNNNNNNNNNNNNNNNNNNNNNNNNNNNNNNNNNNNNNNNNNNNNNNNNNNNNNNNNNNNNNNNNNNNNNNNNNNNNNNNNNNNNNNNNNNNNNNNNNNNNNNNNNNNNNNNNNNNNNNNNNNNNNNNNNNNNNNNNNNNNNNNNNNNNNNNNNNNNNNNNNNNNNNNNNNNNNNNNNNNNNNNNNNNNNNNNNNNNNNNNNNNNNNNNNNNNNNNNNNNNNNNNNNNNNNNNNNNNNNNNNNNNNNNNNNNNNNNNNNNNNNNNNNNNNNNNNNNNNNNNNNNNNNNNNNNNNNNNNNNNNNNNNNNNNNNNNNNNNNNNNNNNNNNNNNNNNNNNNNNNNNNNNNNNNNNNNNNNNNNNNNNNNNNNNNNNNNNNNNNNNNNNNNNNNNNNNNNNNNNNNNNNNNNNNNNNNNNNNNNNNNNNNNNNNNNNNNNNNNNNNNNNNNNNNNNNNNNNNNNNNNNNNNNNNNNNNNNNNNNNNNNNNNNNNNNNNNNNNNNNNNNNNNNNNNNNNNNNNNNNNNNNNNNNNNNNNNNNNNNNNNNNNNNNNNNNNNNNNNNNNNNNNNNNNNNNNNNNNNNNNNNNNNNNNNNNNNNNNNNNNNNNNNNNNNNNNNNNNNNNNNNNNNNNNNNNNNNNNNNNNNNNNNNNNNNNNNNNNNNNNNNNNNNNNNNNNNNNNNNNNNNNNNNNNNNNNNNNNNNNNNNNNNNNNNNNNNNNNNNNNNNNNNNNNNNNNNNNNNNNNNNNNNNNNNNNNNNNNNNNNNNNNNNNNNNNNNNNNNNNNNNNNNNNNNNNNNNNNNNNNNNNNNNNNNNNNNNNNNNNNNNNNNNNNNNNNNNNNNNNNNNNNNNNNNNNNNNNNNNNNNNNNNNNNNNNNNNNNNNNNNNNNNNNNNNNNNNNNNNNNNNNNNNNNNNNNNNNNNNNNNNNNNNNNNNNNNNNNNNNNNNNNNNNGGAAAAAUGGGACAAACUCUUAAAGCCGAAAGAUGAAGUCCCAUCACUCUUUCAGAUAAGAUAGCCUGUGUUUUUGCACCAUAGGAAUGAACUAAACUCUGGGUCUCUUUGGGCCUUAACACUGAGCCUAGCCACUCAGUUCAAAGCAACCUCAAUCCUUAUUGCUUAACAGCUGAAGAGCUAAGUUCCAUUUAAUUUGAUGUUUUGGUUAUUUAUUUUUUGAAAAAAAAUGAACAAAAAUAUCAAGCAAAAGAACCUAAAUUAAAAUUUUCAUGCAUGCCAUGAACCAGUGGUUUAUAACCCGUCGGUGAAGCUUGACAUUAACAAAACAAAAGAAUUUUCUGUUCUUCAUGAGAGAGAUGCAUUACACUUAGAGAAAAUGGUCAAGGUGAAAAGAAAGUCAUUCCUUGUGCAUUGCUAUAGACUGCAUUGCACAAAGAUUCAAGCCUAGGGAUAACAAACAUAAUGUACAAAAUUUAGCUAUGUUACUCAAAAUAUACAAGCAAAUUAACAACCUGCUAAUUGGACUUGGUGUCCUAUCCACCCUUGUAUAGGCCUUCCGAUCUAGCAUCGUACCGUUUAGUAUAAACACGGUGCCUUCUCUCUCUUGCAUAGAUUACCCAGAAGAUCAAUGACAGCAUCACAGCAGCAGAUACAAUUACUAAUCCAAUGUAGAUCCAUUGACUAUAGCGCCACAGACCAGGACAAUAAUCAUGACUGAUAUCUGUGAAUGUAUCACGCACAAAAGUGCAGUCUUGCAAAUUAACCAGGAAUGGACCAUAGCGAUACAAACCAUUACUGACAUUCACUGCAGCUGACAUCUGAGUGUAAAAUUGAGGGGUCAGCCGUCCACGCGUUGAACAAAUCCCAGAGGAUGACACCUGACAGGUAUAGUUCUUCCAAACCUGUUUGAAACAGAUAUAGGCGGUCAUUUAACUUUAGUUAUAAACAUUCAGAAGAAAACUGAAAACGUUAUAGUGAAAAGUUUUUGGAUAGGCAGAAGCAUGGAGAUAGGCUGAGAAACUAAAACAAUAAAUAGAUUCUAAAACUUUUAAGUCUUUUUACCCAAACAUAAGGUUAUUACUGCUCCAAACAAAGCCAGAAGUCACAGCUAAACACCUUAAAUGACAGAGUUUUUCCCUUUUAUGUCAUCAUCUUCAUCGUCUCCUAGUAAUGAAAUCUUAAUCUUCCUUGCUGUUCUGUCAGUUUACGUACUUAUUAGAACUAAUAAUCUAUCUUCUAAUAAGACCAGUUGACCUCAAGAAUUUAACAACUUUAACCUAUGUUAUGUGUUAAUAUUAUUGUCCAUGGCAGGUUUGCGCAAGCUUAUCAUGUUGGAUCUGGAAGGAUGUAAACUUACCGCUGCGUGCUUGGAUCCAUCUCAGGUGCAUUUUCUUAUUAGUAGCCUUUUCAGUGAUACCUAUAAUUGUACAAUUACUUGCUGCUAUACAUUGAAAUUGGUUGUACCUUCAAACGUAACCAUGUGUGGUUUGUGUGGCAAAUUGGUUAGCGGAUGUAAUGUCUUAUAGUUUGGAGAUUAUUGUUGGACGAGGAUAAACUCUCUAGCAUUAUCAUGCAGUAGAAGAUCAACUAUACCAUUAUGCAACAAACAAUGAAUUGUUAACAAGUCAUGGAGUUUGUAAAGUGAAUACAUUGAGCUAUUACUGAAUUUCCUGGAAGUAUAAUAAUUUUCAUAUGUUAUGCAAUUAUCUUGUAAUUUUUUCCUGCCUAUGAAGCAGGGAUUGGGAUUGGAAUAGUUUAUUCAAUUAGAUACCAGAGAACAUAUAUCAUGUUCAGUUCAUUAAAGAAAUUAUUUAUUCUAUCUGCAGCUCUUGUUGCUUUGGCAUACUUAAAUCUUGGAAGAUGUGGCCUAACUGAUGAUGGAUGUGACAAGUUUUCUGGUGAGUUGUAGUUGAUAUCUUUUAGCCCUUUGUUGUAUUGAAUAAUCACAUAGAACGAUUGCAUGGCUAAGUAUAGUUAGUAAUGUUUACAGUAUUUACCACUCAUUUGCAGACUUAAGAAUUUGAAGGUAUUGAACCUGCCAUUUGACAUAUAACAGAUGCAUGUUUUAGCGCACCUAAAAGGUUCUCUCUCUUUCCCCUUUGUUACUGCAUUGUGGUCCGUUGGUUAACUUUUACUGGGAGUGGACCAUUUGCAUUCUUUCUUUGCAUUGAACAACUUCUAGAGGGCAGUGCAAGUUAAUGAAUUUUACUAGGUUAGCUCAGUGAAUUGCACCGUUGCUUUCCAUAAAUCAUGACAAUUGUAAGACCUUACUAUUGUUAAAGUUAGUGGCUAUUGAUUUGUAUUUCAGACCUACAACAACAACAACAAAAAACUAAGCCUUAUAUCCCACAACUUUGAAGUCGGUUGUAUGAAAGGCCAAAAAAAAGGAAUCAUGUUACGUCAUAGUUUUGAAUUUUCUUGCACCACUCAUUUCUAUAAAAAACAGCCUUUUCAUCUACUUCCUUAAGUCUAAUAUCAUCUCUUAUUACUUGCAUCCAUGUCUUUCGUGGUCUACCUCUAGAAGCUUUGGUCACCCCCAAAUCCAAAAGCUCAUUUCUUCUAAUUGGUGCACAGAUAGGCCUACAUUUCAGACUUUAUUCAGAAAAAAGUUAUGAUCUAACUAUAAUAAUGAUAUUUGCAACCUCAUGCUUUCAAUUUUGACAAAUAUUAUGCUGUUCACUUGAGAACACAAGAUGAUAGUUAAUAAUUUUGACACAAAGAUUGUCUGAGGCGACCUUCACUUACAGAUAGUGGUUUCAAUGCAUCACUGAAGGUUUAAAAAGUCUGAUAAUGCUAUGAUAACUGAUUUCUGGUUCAUUUUCUGUAUGUGAUUGGUUGACUAUCAAAAAAGAUACUCGUCCUAAUAAUUUUUCUUGCAGUUCUACUGUGAAAUAAAGAACCUUUGGUCCAAAGAGUGGACAAUUUUCAUUCUGAUUCCAUAUUUUUUUAUGCUUGCCCUUAUGUACUCAUGCUUGUUUGCAGUUUAUUGUUGAUAAGAAUUUGAAUAAAUGAGACCAUUGAUCCUUUGGUUUAUUUUACAUUUGAUUCUGGUCUCUUGUUUAUUUGAAAUGGUGAUAAGUUUGUUUGAUAUGGUAUAUCUUUCUUUGCAGGAUUAACAAAGUUGGAGAGCCUGAAUAUAGAUUCAUGUAAAAUUGGUGAUGAAGGCCUUGCUAAUUUGAUAGGUUUCUAUAUCAUGUUUCAUUUUGCUGCUAGUUAAACUGUUAUGUUGGGAGGAUCUCUGUUUGCUUUAAACAUUUUCAUGACCUAGUUUAUCUUGUGAUUUGCUCUUCAGGCCUUUCACUCCUCAAAAGUCUAGAGUUGUCUGAUACUGAAGUUGGAAGCAGUGGGCUCCGAUACCUCUCUGGUUAGUAAUCUAUCUCUUAUCAUCUUGCUUGUGUGUGAUAUGACCCUUGAUAUUAGCUAUAAGCAUGACACAAUUUCAGUGAUACUUUUAGAAACCUAUCUUCCGGUUAGCCCCGCUCUUACCUAUAAAAUUGUUCACAGAUUUUGUUAAGUUGCUUUUCUUUGAGGAAUCAUCUUUUUUAUUGAGUUAACAAGAUAUACAUUUGAAAUGGUUCUUUUACUUGGAUUUCUUUGACUUAUUGCUCCAUUUCUGUUUCCUUCUGUAUAUGAUGAUGUGUUGGAGAAAAGAGAAACAUUUGAUACUUUCGGUUCUUCCAUAUAUACGUUUUUUCAUUUGUUUCUGAAAUUUUAUUUAUGCCUUACACAUUGACACUGGAUGUCAGCUGAAUAUAUGUUAAUGAAUAGAAUGUAUUACAGAAUUCACGGCAAUCAUAUUGUUAUAGUGUUUGCUUCAUCAAUGACCUAACAAGGCAAAGCAACAAAUCUUUAAGAUUAGGGUUGUGGUGUUAUAAACCAUCUAUUAUGAUCCUUGCUCUUUUCCACAUGGUUCUUUAUUAAAUUAUAUGUUCUUGGUUUCAAUUUUUUCUGAAAUUUUCAGUGCAUUAUAAUGUUAAAUGCAUGAUGCUGACUUGGUUCUGUUAUAUUAGGAUUGACACAUCUGGAGACCUUGAAUUUAUCAUUCAGUUUAGUGACUGAUAGUGGUUUACAAAAGUUGUCUGGAUUUACUGCUCUUAAGUCACUUAAUCUGGAUGCUUGCCAAAUUACAGAUGCGGGGCUGUUGGCUCUGACAAGUUAGUACUUUCACUUAUUUCUUUGUAACAUUCUUCUAACUUUGUGCAUCUAAGUUGGAGACAUUCUGGUGUGCCUUUGAUCCUAUUUAUGGCUUUUUGAAAUCUUAUGGUUGUAUCUUUUGGUUGAAGUCUCUUUGCUGUCUUUGUGGAGUGAAGAAAUUUGGAGCUAUAUUUUUCCUUGAUUUUUUUGUUUUACAAGGUGACCACUGUGAAAUGUAGGUUGUCGACCCCUUUUUCCUUGCCUUAGAUUGUUACCGGAUAGCCAGGUUUGGAGUCAUAAAUUUUGCUGAGCUUUCAGCUAUGAAUGUUUCCUUAUAUAAAAACAUUGUGUCUCUAGAUGGAGAAAUCUUUGAAAGCAAAUAAAUAAUUUUUGAACAGAUCAGAGAACUCUGAUUCAUUAUUGACAUUACAUGAAAGUAAAUAAAUAAUAACUUAAAAAUCCAUGGACUGGAUCAUUCAUUUUUUGUGUUAAGAUGGCAAAUUUCUUACCUUAUUUUCAUCCGUGGCUAUUGGUGUAUAGCUGUAUAUUGAAACCUGUUUCAUAAUGUUAUUCACCACUCAGGUCUAGUGUAUUCUUCCGUUUUAAGAAUCUUAUAUCAAUUAUUGCUGCACCAAGAUGUCUGUAGUGACAUAAUUCAUUUUCCAAAAGCUAAGUCUAAGUGGGCACCAAAUUGCUGCUCCAUUGUCAAUAUUUUAUUCACACUUCUCUAUCUUUCUUCAUUGUGUAAUGUUUUAAGGAUGUAUGAAGUCAUCACAUUUCUGAUUUUGCUGAUGCAGGUUUGACUGGACUGAUGCAUCUGGAUCUUUUUGGGGCUAGGAUUUCGGACACUGGAACAAAUUAUUUGCGAUGUAUGUCAAAAAUAUUGACAUUGCUUAAAUAAUUAAAAUUGCAAGUUGCUUAAUGGACCAUUUUUCUUGUUUGAAAAACUUGAAUCUAUCAUUUUGUCAUAUUCAAGUUUUAUUAUAGCUUUUAACCUUUGAUGUUUUCUUUUUGUUUGUUUGAAAAACUUGAUUGUUUUGGUUUGCUCUUUGCCUUGAAGACUGGAUAGUUUGGACAUACAUACUUGAGGAAGUUCAGGAGUAACUUUGAGAAAUAUAAGGUCCUUUUAGUUGAUUUAUUGAGGUGUAUUUAUAUCUCCAAUGGUAGGAUAAUCGGUAGGCUCAUGAGAACUUUUAGAAUCAUGUUUAUUAAAAGGUUGUUAUGGUCUUCAUCAAUAGGCCUAAUAUUGAGUUUGGCAUAAUCUCAUUUUCAUUGUAAACUUUUCUCAAGAAUUUUGUUUUACAUGUUCUAAUUUUGUGUUAAAUGUUCUUGCACCUGCUUGUUUUCAUGUUAAACAGGCUUCAAGAACCUCCAAUCCCUUGAAAUAUGUGGAGGUGGUUUAACUGAUGCUGGGGUGAAAAAUAUCAAAGAUCUUUCCUCUUUAACGCUAUUGAACCUUUCACAAAACUGCAACCUGACAAACAAAUCCUUGGAACUGAUUUCAGGUAAGUUUUGCUUUUAUUCCUCAUGGUUUUAUUGUGUUUGUUUAGCUUCUUUUUUUUCUCCUUUUUUGGCCAUUGUUAGUGCAAUUCUUGAAUAGAACAAACCUUGCUAUGCUUGUAUAGAAAAUGAUACAGAGACAUAUAUAAAUAAGACAGCUACUUGUAUCUCUAGUGUCAGAUUAUCUCAUCUGGCAAUUGUCCCGCUUGGCAUUCUGCUGCAGGACCAGUGAUUUGCAGUACUUUUGCUACUGUCUAGUAACUUGGUCAUGUAUGAUUAGUUGGUCCAAGAAAUGUCUAAACACGCAAAGAUGAACGGGCAGUCAGUAAAACUGGUGAAUUGAGAGCUUAUUUGGGGCCUUCUAAUAGUGGCUUCUGAAUGUGAAAGUAUUCUAGUCCAUGGCUUCCAUCUGUCUGUGCUCUGAUAAAGUCAGUGAGAUCUUCUAAUCAUGGAUUUUCAUUUUCUGGUGUAAAUGCAGGCCUGACCGCAUUGGUGUCGUUAAAUGUUUCAAAUUCUUACAUAACUAAUGAUGGUUUGCUGUAUUUAAAGCCUCUAAAGAAUUUACGGUCGCUAUCUUUGGAAUCCUGCAAGGUAACUGCCUCUGAAAUUAAGAAGCUCCAGUCAACUGCCCUUCCCAAUCUUGUCAGCUUUCGACCAGAAUAAUAUUGCUGGGGCAACUGCAACCUAUGCUGUAAAUAGCUGCUAUCACCUGGAGAUAGCUCUCUCAACAAUUCAAUAAAUAUAUGUUAAAACGUGAAAGGCUGCCUUACUAAUGGGGUCAGGGUAAUUGUGCUAAUUAUAUGGACAGUCAAUGACAGGUGAUUGAAAAUAUGUUUGGCUGCUGAAUUUGACAUUACCUCUUUUCUUGUUUCAAAAACAAACAAAUUUUGUACAUAUAAAUUUUAUGUUAAUUAACUAUUUUCUGCACAUUGUCUUCCAAGUUUUCAUCUGGAGAUUCAAAACAGAAGGCAAAAACCAGAGGGGAAGAGGUUUGACUGUGAGUUGCACUCAAUCUGAGUAACUUGUUUCAGGGUAUGGUCUCAAUCACAAGCAUGUAAGCAGAAUUACAUGUUUGAAUGUUUGAUGAAAUGGAAGCAAAAGCUGAAAAUAAAUCCUCAAUCCUCAAUAACAUAUAGUACAACGAGAGAGUCUAUGUUCCUCAAUCCAGUGCAAAAAUCUAUUUCUUCAAAACUAGAAAUCAAAAUGAGAAACUUGCAGCUAGAAAUAACAAAUCAAUCAGGUAAGCAACAGCAAUCUCUAAAUUAUUUGCAACUAAAUAAUAAAUUCAGCUUGUAUAUCAAUCAGGUAAAAAAUAAUAAACCUAGUGUUGUAAUAGAAUGAAGCAAACAUUAGAUGUCAAUUGUCUUCCAGUAGCCUGAGAUUGAUGCCUACUUCAAAUCUUGGGCUUUUUACCUGGCAAUAUGAUGAAUUUACCAUGCUUACAGUAAAUUUUUUUGUGAUAAGUUUUUCAGUUUAUCACAGGGUAAAAGAACAAAAAAAAAACAGUAAUAAUUAAGGAUUUGGUUUUGCCAAGGAAAAUUAAUUACCGGACGUGGACCAUAAUAUGAGGCUUCAACCUUAUCUGGAGUAACAAAAAUUUCAUGUCAAAGUGCGACGAAUGGACCAAGGAUCAGUUUCAUCAGAACUGCUUAAACCAUAGGGUUUAAUUUGAGCUUAUUGGGCCUCAAGCCCAACCAAAAAACUUUAGGGCUCUAACGGGUAAUACGCGGAGUAUUUAUGCUGUCUAUAUAUAUCGGAUCCAGAUUCAAAAUUUGAAACCCAAGACGAUUAAUUUUUACUGUUUUUAUUUUCUUCGUAUUUCUUUCUUUUGUCAUUCCUCAAAAAAAAAACUCCUUUUUGUGUUUUUUUAUCCUAAGCAAACUCUCCAACAGAUUUCGCUUUCUUCUUAGGCUGAUAGUGAUAGUCUCAGAUUUGGCAACAGCUUCAGCACUACUCUGAGUUCCCUGAUUUCAACAACUAUCUCGUUUUUAUCCCUUCUCGAGCUGAGCUUUGCUUCUUUUCCUCUCUCCGUUUGUUUUCUCAGUAACUAGUUUAGUAGAGUUUUCUUUUCCGGAUUUCGUUUUUUUUUUUUUUUUUUGAGGAAAAGGAUUUUGGGUAUUGAUUUGAUUGUACGGUUUUUAUUUCUUUAAUGAAAUUUCUUUUUAUUGGAUUGUGUUUCUCUAUAGAAUAUUUGAAUUUGGUGACUAUAGGUUUAAUAAUUCUGUAAUAGAAUUUGCAAAGAUUGUAUAUUUAUUGGAUUAACAGCAUUUUGGGUAUUGUUAGUGGUGAAUUUCUGCUGGCCUACCUAUUUGCUAGUGGUGAACAAGCCUCGAAAGAUAGGGAAGCUGCUGUUUUGGCUCUUGGUGCAACUGGUGAAGGUUGCGUUACUGGUCUUUAUUCUCAUUUGUCCGAGGUAAUUCUUGUUGUUUUUAACCGGUACACAAAGUUUAGAGGCAGAUUACAAGGUGAAGAAUAAAUGGUGCAUAUAUAACAGUCAUCGGUUUUCCUUAACUCAAUUUAUGCUCUUAAAUUUUUUAUUUUUGCUAUUGUAUUGCUUUUACUUUAUUCUUCUUUGACAUGCUUGCCGCAGAAUUUGAAAAAAAAAAAGUCAAAUUUAUGUCUGCAUAUUGUGGCAUUUCUAUGUCCCCUUUUAGAUCAUGCGGAAGAAUUCUUCUUGGACACUUUCUCGAUUCAGUUCAGGUGUGGAUUAAAAUUGCUCCAUUGGUUGUUUCUCCUCAUGCCUAUUUUCCUUCUGUUUGAUGCUGUUUGGCUGUUAAUAUAUUUUUUUAAUCUAAUAAAUAUAUAUAACCACCAUGACCAUUUUUGCAUCUUAUGCCUUUUAUUUUCUGUUUUUGGCACGUAGCACUCCUAAAGUACUUUUUGUUGUUUUGUCCAUGCAUUGGAUUUUGUAGUUGAGAGCUUUCGUGUUUCCUUUAUAUCAGUCUAGUGGGCAUCAGAAAGGCUAUGAGCAAUUUGAUGCUGUAUGGGUAUGCUGCGAAGAAUAUUGGAUGCUAACAAGUGGGUAAAAGAGGCUGUUUAACCGGCUUUUGCAAUGCUUGAAGAGGUUAUUAUAAACUUGCUGCACGUUGUAAUUCAGGUUAAAUUCUUAUAGAUUUCAACAAUUGUUUUAUUCAUUUGAGGCUGCUGAAGAGGUUGCACCAAGUUUGGAAAUAAUUGUGUACACUAGCUUAUGCGCGUGCUUUUGUCUAACAUCAGGUUUUUUUGGCUGGCCUUUACAUUAUAAUAAGCUCCUUUUACUGUUGCAAUUAUGACUUAUGAAAGCCUAUUACUAUAUUUUUUAUUUUGUAUGCUGCUUUAUCAAAAUAUAAGUUGCUAAUAUCUCAAAAAAAAAAAAAAAAGUUGCUAAUUAUGUUUCUUUUCUAUAUGCAGUUUUUUGAGUUGCUUCUCUGAGAAAGCUUUAAUUGGGUUCAUUAAGUUUUAUAUUCUUACUUUUAAUGGAUGUCAUUCUGAUACUUUUUGAUGUUAUACAUUAAUUUAUUGAAGGCUUGGUGUACAUCCUUGGAUAAACACCUUCCAGGUUUGUUUGUCCUUGCUUAUGACCUUGCAGCAGAAGUGCUGAAAUUGGUCAAUAGUUUCUUGUUUUCUUCUUGUACUCUUGUUUUUUAUUAUAAUUCUGUUGUUUGCUUGGAAUACUCAAAUCUGCUGUAAGUAUUUCCUAAUUUUGCUUAUAAUUUACUGUAACUUCAAGUCUAUAAAAGCUUGGUAUGAAUCAUUUUUCAUUUCUGACUUUCCAGUUUCAGCAUUGAUUUAGAAGAUGUAGUAUUGGAAUUAGACAUUUUUUUAUCUAGUCCUUGAUGUUAAUGGUUCUUGGGUUUUUUCUGUCACUAGACCAUAAAAUUGCUGGGCAUUGCUAAUAUAUGUUUUAACUAGAAUACUAUGAAAAGAACUGUUUCUGUUAACUUUUAAUAAGAGUUAACAUAAAAAUUUUUCUUUUUUUUUUUUUGGUUGAGCUGUUUGGUGUCCUAUUGAUUACAUACGGCUCUUAUGGGUCUCCUGCUGAGAAUAUUGGAUACAAGAGGCUGCUUCUUUGGAUUUUGCAAUGCUUGAAGAGGUUGUUAUAAACUUGCUGUACUACUUGCUGUAUUUUGGGGUUUAAAUCCUUAUAUAUUUGAACAAUUGUUUUAUUCAUUUGAGCUAAACAUGUUUUUAUCUAGUCGUUGAUGUUAAUGGUUCUAGGUUUUUUUUCUAUCACUAGACUUUAAAGCUCAUCGGACACUGCUAAUAUAUGUAUUACGUAGAAUACUACAAUAAUAGCUGUUUCUGUCUCCUACAAAAUUUUUAGUAUUUUGAGUUAUUGAAUGAAUUGUUGAAGUUAUCUCGUUCCUUUUAAGCUCGAUCAUUUUUAGAUCAAUGUUUUUUGCCUAAUGAUCAGGCUUGUGUAGCAUUUGGUCAGCUAAUUGAAGUCCGCCCAUCUUUUCUGGAGGUGGGUAUCUUUUGUUUGUUACAUUUUAGUUUUCUUACAUUUUCUUAUUGCAGUUCUUUUAGUAGCAUGAAGUGUUACCUUUUUUUAGUAUCUAUGUCAUACACUUGUUUCUUUUUAUGCAUAACACUCUGUGAUGUGAUUUUUAACUAUUUGACAGCCACACUUGAAGAAUGUAAGUGGAUAUAUGUUGCAAGUCAAUAAAGGCAUUGAUGAAUGAUGUGGCCCUUGAAACAUGUAAAUUUGGGUAACUUUCUUCUUUGUGCAUUCCAUGUCUGAAUGUCAUAUAUUUUAGAUUAAGAUGUCUUUUAAAACCAUUUUUUUAUACCCGUGUCUUUUAGUCUCAAUGUCAUAAACGUGUCUUUUCAUGCCUAUCCACCACCUUUUUUUUUUUGUUUUUUCUUGUGAUGUGAUUUUUAACUAUUUGACAGUCACAUUUGAAGAAUGUAAUUGAAUAUAUGUUACGAAUGAAUAAGGCCAUUGAUGAAUGAUGAAGUAGCACUUUAAGCAUGUGAAUUUUGGUAACUUUCUUAUUUGUGCAUUCGAUGUCUGAAUGUCUUAUAUGUAGAUUAAGAUGUCUUUUAAACCAUAUUUUUGAUAGCUUAUGCAGAUUGACAUGCUUCAAACUAAUAGUUUUUGGCAGAAUGCAAUAUCUCUUGAAUUUAGCCUUUUCUUUUACUUGCUCACCUCUGCUUGUUCACAUAACAUGUUUGUUAAACAUGUCAGAAGUGAUGGAGGUGUGCUUGCCCCUGUGCCUCUGCCUCUAUGUGCUAUCGAACUAUAGUUAUAAAAAAUUUUAAUAUUGUUGCCAUCAAUAUUAGUCUAAUAAUAAAAAUAUGUAAUAAAAAAUAAAAAUUAUUUAAAUUAAAAUUUAUAAGUAAAAUUAUUAAAGGCAUUUUAGUUAAUCAUUUUUAAUAUUUUUGGAAUUAAAAUUUUAUUAAGGUGAUUUGAGUCAGUCAUUUUUAGUACUUUUAAAGUUCAAACUUUUAUAUAAUAAAGAAUAGAUAAUAUAUAGAAUAGGAGAUGUGAGAUAAUAUUUUAAUGGAUGAUAUAUAGAUGAUUAAUAAAUUCAUAUAAUAAAGAAUAUGAUAUGUGAGAAAAUAUUUUGAUAUUGUUUGUAGAAGUUGAAAAUUCCAUUGAUCAUAUAUAAAAUAUAUAUUUAUAUUUACACUAAUGUAAAAGUAAAGACUAUUACAUAUUUUUCUAGCCUAUUAUUCAUAAAAGACUGAUAAAAAUAAGCCAAUUAUUUAAUUUUCUCUUGCUUUUCUCUUUUUUCUCUUUAUUACCUAUUCUUGAAAGCAAUCUUUGUGUACAGAAUUUUUUUUAUUGAUAUUUUCUUGCUGAAAUGACAACAAUUUUGUUGAAAAUUCUCCAAUUGUGAGGGAUUCAAACUUCGGAAGUAAUAAAUUAAAGAUGAAUUAAUUUGUGAGGAAAGAUGGGUCGAGAAUUGCAUUAUAUGGAUAAGCAUAAAGCAUUAGAUUUUGAUAUGGUUCUAAUACAAUACAUUAGGGCAUUUGUAGGGGAUAAAAAAAACAAAUUGGAAAGAAGAAAAAUUGUCUACCACAAACCCCUAGAUCAAGUAGGAGUCGUUGACAAAGAGAACUGGUGACCAACCAAACAUGGGUUGGCUACAUAUUUCCACAAUGGAAUCGUUUAGGUAGAAUGUUGUCUUCCACAAAAUAGUAGCAAGAAGUGAUGCCUGCUUCUAUAUGAUGGAACCAUGCUCGUCUCCAAUAAGGAUUAAUAUACAGCACAAUGGCAAUACUCAGUAGCACCAUGACGUAGGACACAACAAAACUUACAUAAAAGACAUUCAUGUCAAUUGAGCCAUUGUCAGUUGAAGCCGUUGGCGUUAAUGAAGAUGGUCCAUCUGUUGAGCAAUUGUUUGGCAACGGUGGGCCACAAAGAAAACGAUUUCCCAGGUAGCUGCCUUCUUCGAAGGUUGCAAAUUGCGCGGUCCUUUCAGGUGUACUUCCGGAUAAAUUGUUGUAUGCCACACUGAAUGAAGACAAGUAAGUCAACCCCACAAGUUGAGAAGGGAUUUUCCCGCUCAAGUUGUUGUGAGAAAGAUCAAGACUCUCAAUUUGCUUGAGUUCAGAAACCGCUGGUGGUAUUGGUCCUGUCAAACUGUUGUGAGACAAAUUCAAAGCAAUGAUUUUUCGGAAGUCUUUUACUUCGUGGGGAAUCUCACCAGUCAACUUGUUGCAAGAGAGAUCAAUUCCAGAAAGUAAAGUGAGGACUCUUCCCUUGUAAGAGUAGGAUAUGUUUUUUGUUGUGAACUCUAUUGGCUCAUCAGGAGAGAAAGAACUGGGAGCUUGUGCAACAGCAGCAACAUAACGGACAUACUCUUGGGAUACAUCAUUCAGUGUUGUAAUCUUCAGGCAAGGAGGAAUUGUACCCGAAAGUUUGUUAUUAGAAAGAUCAAUCAAGCUUAACUGACCCAACUUGCAUAACUGAACCGGAAUCUCACCUUCAAAGUGGUUGUUAUUUAGGAGAAGGUAACUCAACUGAGAAAGCCUGCCAAUCCAAUUUGGAAUGCUUCUAGUUAAGCGGUUAUUACUGAGAUCUAAUGUCACCAAGAUAGUGCUGUUACGAAAUGCAUCUGUGAGUGGCCCUUGUAGCUUGUUUCUUGAUAAAUGAACUUGACUGAUCCAUAAAGGGCUGAAGCAAGAUGGCAGACUCCCAGAGAUACUGUUCACCGAAAGAUCCAGAAGUUUAAGAUUAAGAUUGAGCUGGCAAAACUCCUUGGGGAUUGGACCUUCAAGAUGAUUAUUUGCCAUGACAAUUUCUUCCAAACUUGACAUAUUCCCCAUCCACCUUGGUAUCCGACCAAAAAGUUUGUUCUUGCUUAAAUCUAAUGUUGACAAACUUGAAAUAUUCUCCAUCCACCUUGGUAUAUCACCAAAGAGUUGGUUAUCGCUAAGAUCCAAUGUUGUCAAAAAGGUACAAUUAGACAAACAAUCUGGGAUCCUUCCAGAGAAGAGAUUCCUAUCCAGUUGCAACUCCCUCAAGUUUAUCAAGUUAAAAUUUGAAGAGAACAUCGAGCCUUGCAAUCUGUUGUUUGACAAUAUAAGAACACUUAAUAAGGAACAGCCCAUUGCCAAGUGCUCUGGUAAUCCUCCUGUCAAUUUGUUGUUAGACAAGUCCAAGGUUCGUAGAGAAUUCAUAUCUCCGAUUGAAACUGGAAUGCUACCGCCAAAAAUAUUUUUUGACAUGUUCAAAAACCAUAAUGAUGGUAGUUUUGCUCCAAUUUCAUUUGGAAUGUUGCCAUAGAAGGAAUUUUUGGAGAUAUCCAACUGUGAUAAAGCUGUAUGUGAAAGGGAAGGUAACUGAAAUGGUCCCAGGAAAGAGUUGUUGGAGAGAACUAAUUCAUAUAAAUUUGUGUUGUUCUCCAACAACCAAUUUGGAAAUUCCCCUUUCAAAUUGAUGCUAGAUAGAUCAACAUGCCGCAAGUCAUGUUGAUGAUAGAGAAAUUGAGGAAAUGAUCCAACAUCUCCACAACAAGAUAUGCUGAUCUCAUAAAGUUGGAAUGUUGGGGCCAAAGAAUGCAUCUCGGUUUCAGCAUAUAUGGUAUUGUUGUCUGCAUCCAUGUACCAGAGUUUUGAAAGGUUGAACAAGGGUCCUAAUGAGCUUGGGAUUUCAAAGUAAUUGUUUGAAAGACUCAAUGUUUGGAGGGAUUUUAGAUUCCUAAGGACAAAUAUAUCUCCAGAAAAUUGAUUGGAUGAGAGAUCUAAAAUUUCAAGGGAUGUUAGACUCUCAAGAACAGAUAUAUUUCCAGAAAACUGAUUGGAAUAAAGAUAUAAACUUUCAAGCGAUGAGAGAUUGGAGAAGCACUCGGGCAAGUUACCCCUUAAAUUAUUGUAGCCAAUAUCCAAGUUUUGGAGAUUUGUCAAUUCACAAAAACCUGCAAAAGUAGCAUUAUGUUAAAUAAAUGAAGAAGGUGCCAUGCGCUGGAACAAAAAAAAAAAAAACAAUUAGUCUCUCCAUCCCUUAUAUUUUGUCACUUACUAACAUUUCAUAAAAUUUAGAGAGAUCAAAAGGAAAAGAGAUAAUACAUAAAGAAAAUUUAAAAAAAUUUGGUGUUUGUUUAGAACAUAGUAGGUUUCGUUACUUUUAAAAAAGUUAUGAUAAAAGGUAAUAUUAUAUAAGAAUAAUAUAUGAAGAGUAACAUUUUGUAUGGGAGAAUAUUUCAAAUGCAAAAGGGACAACAUGAGUAUAGGACGGAGUAGGGCUGUAAACGAGUCGAGCCGAGCCGAGUAGUGAGAAGCUCGAGCUCGAGCUCGACUCACAACUCGGAGUUUGAUACUCGGUUCGAGCUCGAUCGAGUUUUAUUUUUCAAGCUCGAGCUCGAUUCGUGAUCGAAUUCGAGCUACUCGAGCUCGUUCGAUUAAGCUCGAUUAAUAUGUAAAAAUAAGCUCGAUUCGUAUAUUCGACAAGAGUUCGAUUAUUCAUGCUCGAACUCGAACUCGGAUUCGAAAUAUUCUAUUUAAUUAAAAAAAAUAAAAAUAUAUUUAAAUAUAAAAGCUCGAUUAGACUCGCGAGCUACUCGAGUCAGAUAUAAGAAUACUCGAAUUCGGUUUGAUCGAUAAGUCGAGCUACUCGAGCUCAAGCUCGACUCGACAAUAAUCGAACUGAAUUUGAGUUUUUUUCGAAUCGAACCCGAGUAACUUGCGAGUACUAAUGUAUCAUUUACACCCUUAGGACGGAGAGACCAAGAACUGAAAUCAAAGGUAAGGUAUGUAUCAAUCUCAACCUUGGGAAUGUAAGGUGCCAUUGAGUCCGCAGUCCCAUAAUUCUAGAUUCUUGAGAGAAGGCAUUGCUCCAAUUUUUUGAAGAAAGUUGUUUUCCAGGGAAGUGUCCCAUAUGAACAAGGAUUCCAAAUUCUUCAAAUGAAUUGGACCUAUUUCAAUAUAUGUAUACACGGAAACGUAAGAAGAUAUAUUUAAAGUAACAAAAAAAAAAAGAUAAUAUCAUAAUAUGUAUGCAAUUAACAAUAAACUCGCAUCCUAUCAUAAAUUAAAACUUUAACAAUUGUAUAAAUAUUUAUUUCAUACUAUUAAGUCAAUUAAUUAAGAUGUUUUAUUUUGAAAGAAAAUCAAAAUACUUUUUUAAAUCUAGCAAAAAAAAAGUAAAAAACAUAUCAAUAAGCUUAAUGAAUUCAGAUAAAUAUUGUUAAUAACAAGAAACAAAAUGAUCAAUUAUUUAAAAUCAACAAAUUUCUUUUUUUUCUUGUUUUAUAUAUAUAUAUAUAUAUAUGCUAAACUAUUUUUCUUUUUUUUAUUAAUUACUAAUUUACAUAUGAGUGAUACAUUCAUUACAAAAUUCUUGUAAUUUUAAGUACAUGUAAUGCUCAUUUGAAUGGCUAAAGGUAAGAGACAUCCAAAAAAUAAAGAAAUAAAAUGGAUUUAUAACUAUAAAUUUAAAAUAUCUAAUUUAUCAUGUAAGUUAAGACUACUGUUGAUGUCACCAAAUAUUACUCUCAAAUUUUUAAGAGAAGUUAGCAUUCCAAUAUCUUGAAUAAAGUUAGAAGGGAGAGAUAAACCUUCUAGCUCCAACUUUUUCAAAUUUGUCAAAUUUUUUCAUUCUAUUCAAUCAAAGUUACGAAUUAUGUUUUGAAUUGAAAAAUAUAAUUACAAAUGACAAUCGAGAAAAUGAUACUACUACUUAAUAAGUAAUUGAAAAAUUGAAAGAUUUAUUUUACCAUGUAAAUUGAAGCUGCCAUUGAACUCACAAAAAUACACGUACAAAUUUUUAAGGGAAGUUAGCAUUCUAAUAUCUUGAAUAAAAUUGGAAGGGAAAAAUAAAUCUUCUAACAUCAAUUCUUCCAAACUCGUCAAAUUUUGCCAAAUCAAUGAAAGUUAGAAAAUUAUGAAAAUUAAGAAGUAUGUUAUGACAAAAAAUAGUUGCAAAUGACAACCAAUAAAAUAGUUCUCCAAAAUAAGUCUCAAGUAUAGUAUAUGCAUAUAAGUUAUGAGAUUUGGCCAACGAUUCAUGUCUUUUCUGUGAGGGUUGACUCUAUAAUGUGAUAAUUUAAAUCUUUGGCACUGCUUAAGUUAGGGAUUAUCAUAGAAAAAAGUAUAUGCAAAUAUAAAUACAGUCACUUUUGAUGACUCAUUUUAAUGGAUAGAGACAAAAGUUUUAGUAAAAGGUUCAAUAUUAAAUUUAACAUAUGUAAUAUUAUUUAUUUUUAUAAUUUUUUAUAUAUUAAUCAAAUUUAUUUACAUAAAAAGACUAUUGAUUAAAUUUACCAUUAGUCAAGCAUAUUUGAAAAAAUCAUUUAACAAAAGAUAAAAAUCACAAUGAAAAAGAAUUUUAGGGCAAAAGUUAACUAUUAAGUAUAUGAAAAAUUUUCUAUCUAUAUAUUGGAAUAAUAAGAGAAAUUAUGUUAAAAAAUUUUCAAAAAGUAUUCAAUUAUGUAAUAAGUGAGAAAAAUGGGAAGAAUUUAUAAGAAUAAAUAGGGGAAACAAAAUGAUUUGAUAAAAUUAAGGAGAAGGUGGAGUGGGGAAUAAAAUUUUAAUUUUUAUUGAAAUCUGAAAAAAACUUUAAAUCAAAUUAUGGAUAAUAUAUAUAUAUAUAUAUAUAUUUAUCCAAUGCCAUAACAUUAAAGUUAUCCCAUUUCAAUCUAAUAAAAGAAUUUGGUUAACAUGAGGCUUGAUGUUUUUGUCAUUUUCUUUUUUAAAAUAUUUUUCAUAAAAUUUUAUAAUUUUUUAUAUUUUUCAAAUAAUAUGUUCUAUUUUCAACAAAAAUAAUUCUAACAAAAUUAAAUAAUUAUUAAAAAUAAAGGAAGUAAAUAGAAUAAAAAUGAAAUAAAAUAAAAAAAUUGACAAUUUGAGUAAAAAAAGUUUUAAAUAUUUAGAAGUGAUAAAGAAAAGAAUAAAUAUGAUAUAAUUGAUUAAUAUAUUUACCUAACUUUUAACAAAAAAUUAAUAGAUAAAAAAAUAUUAAUCAACAUAAUAAAACAAAAUUAAAAAACAUUCUCCUUGUUUUCUUAAAUUAAAUUUUCAUAGAUUUUCUGGAUUGUCUCAAAAUUGUUUUCAUUUCCUUUAACACCUACAAUUCAUAUUUUAGAAAUUUUUCAUAUUUUUACUCUUUAGAAUUUAAAUAUAUAGUUUAUCAAUAUUGCAAAAAAAGUGAAGAAAUAAUGUUGAAAUAAUAAUAAAAAUUUUAUUUGGCUUAUAUAAAAAAAAUAAAAAACAAAAAUUGUCACACACUAUUAAAAUUAAGUUUAAAAUUAUCUAAACAAAAAAUUAAGUUCCAAAUUGGGAUUGAGGUGACAUGGUAAUAAAAGGUAUUUAAUUCAAAUAAGAAAUAGAUAAAGAGUAAAAUAAAUGUUUGACCAGUACCUUUCCCUAAUUGGUUAAAUAAAUGUAGUUAAUAAUAGUAAUUAUAAGAGAAAAACAUUACAUAUAAUCAUCAUAACUUACAAGUAGCCAGUGUUCCAUUAAAACUAACACCAUACAAUUGAAGAGUCUUCAAUGAUGGGAACAAGUCCAACGAUUGCGGUGAAAGGCUACAAGCUGCAAUUGAUACAAUUAUUACAACAUGAAAUGUAAAGAAGUUAGUAAUACAAUUAAAUCUUUCUGUAUGAUUUGUAAAUACACAUAUUAUAUAUUUUUAUUCCCCCAAAUUUAAAUUAAGAUGUACUUCCCUGUAAAAAUAAAUGUAGUCUUUUGAUUCAAAACAGAGAAAGGCACAAUAUUAAAUUACAAUCAAUUUGAAUUUGCUUUUAAUUUUUCUAAUGAAAAAAUAAAACAAAACCGUGGUGUUUUCAAUUUUGUGCAACCCAAAUUUCAUUAAUAAUCAGAGUUAGAGAAGUACAAUAUUGUCUAGCAAAAGUUUACAUAGACAAGAGCAAUUUAAUAUUAAUAUAUAAUUCAUUAACAUUACUGAUUAAUCACUUAAAUAAAAAAUUACCUAAAUGAAAGAGAGGGCAAAUGUUUCGAUUAGUUUGAAUUUUAAUUUCUUAAAGUUUUUAGACGUGUAAUUCAUUCAAACAUGCAUGAACAAAUUGAUGAAGAAACAAUUUUGUUUUAGCAGUACCUUUGGUGUAAUAGCAGGAUAUAAAUAGAUUCUCCAAAUUGCUCAAAGCAUCUAACCCUGAGAAGAAUCACAAAUAAAAAUAUAAUUAAAUUAAAUUAAAAAUAAAAAAUGAUAUUCUUGCAUUUGUGCUUUAAAGCAUAUACUUAAGUAUUAUAUAAUAAUAAAAUAUCAUUUAAUAACUCUAGAAAGAGAGAAAAGAAGGAGAGGGGGUAGUUUUACCUUUAAGAUUUAUUGAUCCGUUCAAGUUGUCUCCUAAAGACAAAGACUUUAGAUUUGAAAGCCUACCAAGGGAUGACAAUAUGCUAUAGUUGAAGAGAUUCCACCCCAAAUCAAGCACUUCUAGAUUGAUCAACCUUAGUUCCGUUUCAUUAUCUGUAUAACAUUAAUUUACAUAAUUAAUUUCAUUACUUUUUAAUUUUUUAAUUAAUUCUAAAUAAUUGAAAACUCUUUUUGGAAAAGUACAAAAAUUUCCACUGAAAUAUUCCAGUUUGUAAACAUGUAAAUUAUACAUUUCCCAACAAAUUGUGUUAAAUACCUUUGGAUGGAGCAAAGUCAUUCACUUGAUUAUCCGAGAUAUCUAAUUCCACUAAAUUAGUCAAAGCAUUCAAUUCUGAGGAUAGAAUUACAAAAAAAAAACUAGUAAUUAAUUAACAAAUCAUAUAAAACCCAAACAUAUAUAGAUUUUAAACCAUAUUUACCUUUAAUAUGUAUCGACCCAUCUAAUUUGUUUCUUGCUAUAUACAAAGACUUCAACUUUAAGAGCGCAGCAAUGGAUAAGAAUACGCUGUUGUUGAAGAGAUUUUCACUUAAACCAAGCACCUCAAGUUUGAUCAACCUCAAUUGUUCAUUCUGUGAAAGAUUAGUAACAUAAUUUUAUCUUCAAAAGAAUAUCUAAUUAUUAUAUAUAUUUAUUAUUCAAAUUCAUUAUAUGUUAACUUACACUUUGAAAUAAAGAUCCGAGACUCCCAAUUUGAUUUUCGCCUAAAUACAACUCCUUUAAGUUUGUCAAAUUAUUGAAUUCUGUUCAAAUCAAAUCAAAUAUAUAUCAAUCUAGUUAUUCCUUUUUAAAACCAUGAGAUUUUUAAAACAACCCUACCUCGCAAAUUAACAGUUCCUUUUAAUCCGCAAUUCUGCAAACGCAAAGAUUUUAAAGAUGUAAAAUCAUCUAGAUGUGAUAGGAUGUUGUUUCCUAAUACAUUGCCAUAUAAAUCCAGAGUCUCUAACUUGUUCAAUUUUGAUAACCUCUUCAUACCUGUUUUCAAUAAUAUUACAAAAUUUUAGUAAAUAAUCACUAUUUUAUAAAUAUAUAUAUCUCAAUUACAAAACAAACGUUAUUUACUUUAACCUGAUUUUUAUAUAUAACACAAUAUUAACAUUACCCUCUAUCAGAUUUGACCCAGUGAAUUGGUUUUUUGCUAGAUUUAAAGACCUGAGUGAUGAAAGUUUGCUUAAGGAUGCUAAAAUGCUAUCAUUGAAUUGAUUAACACUUAAGUCAAGGAUCUCAAGUUUGUCUAAUUUCAGUGACAGCUUUUCAAAACCUACAAGGAAAAAUGUAGCAUUUAGUGACUUUCCGAAAAAAUUGAAAUAAAAAAUAUUUAGAUAAGAUGAACAAAACUGGUAAUCAAUAAAAAUGAAUUUUCAAAUGCAAAAUACUUAUUGAAGUAGCAGUUAGUAAUUAGGUGAAUAUGAAUUAACCUUGAUUGUCAACACAACCAGCAAUAGAAUUGCCACCCAAAUAAAGACUCUUCAAUUCCUCAAAAGGAAGAAACAAAGAGGCAUUGAGAUACCAAGAAUCUCUCCCACUCCAAUCGUACUUUCUCAAAUAAUAAUUAUAAACUAAAUCACCAUAGACUUCAGUAGUUGUAAGAUUAAGGAAGAGUCGGAUCACUCGUCCAGUGGAGGUGUUGCACUCAACCCUUUUCCACUGACAACAAUCUGAACUCUGUUUUCCCUCAUCCACCCAAUAAUUCUUUACAUCUUUAAUAUGAGUAAAGAAAGGUUUAAGUUGCAAAAGAGCAAUUUUUUCUUGCUCCCAGCACCUUUCACAUUCACAACACCUUCCUAAUAGGAAUGCUACCAAAACCACCCAUAACCAUUUCCACUCCAUCUCAAUUAAUUAAUGCACUCUAAAAAAACUUAAUAUUAACUAUGCUGCUAUGCAUUUGGCAUCACUAUAUCCAUGGGGUUUAUCUACUAAAAAGUCACUUGAAAAGAUACAGCCUUGUUUCUUAGAAUUCAUUGAAAAUGGCACACUCAGUCUUGACGUACUUGUCAAAUUCCACAGCAUUAAGAAAACACAUUGCAUGAAGCUUCCUACAAAUUUUCUUUGUGGAAAAGUAAGCACAGAUUCUGACAAUUAUAAUAAACACUCCAUCUUAAUUAUAACAUCAUUAAUGUCUUGUAGUGACACUGCUAACAAAAAUUAUUGCUUACUUUUUUUUUCUUUGUAAAUCCUUAUUAAAACUUUUGUUUUGUUUUUUUAAUUUAAUUUUUUAGAAUACUUUAGUAUCCCUUUUAACAGCUUCAUUUUUUUUUUUGUUGCUAAAACAAUUUUAGGAUGUAUUCCAUAGUAAAAAAAGUGAAAAGAUGAAUAAAACAAGGUGAAAAAGUGGAAAAAAAUAAAUUUUCGCUAUGUUUGGUAAAAAAGAAAAAUUAAAAAAAAGAUUAUUAUUUUUCAGACUUAUUAAUGCAAAUAAAUCACUCCAAAUGUAAAAGAAAAGAUGAAAGAAAAUAAAAGAGGUAUGAGCAUGUGUUACAUAUUUAUAAAAUUAUCCUGUCAUAUUUAGAUUUUUUUACAAAAUGUUAUAAUAAUAAAAUCAUAUUUUUUUUCUUUCAUUUUCUAACUCUACCAAACAAUGAAUGAAAAAAAUUAUAUUUUCUUUCUUUUUCAUUUUUUUAACCAAGCUCAAUAAAAAUAAAAUAUAUAUUUUUUAUCUUUUCAAUUUUUUCUUUCAAUUUUUUAUCUUUUUAUUUUUCUAUCCCAUACUAAGCAAGGCCUCUAUUUAGUAAUUUUUUUUUUGUUUGCCAACCUUGCUAGGGUUAUUGCCAAAUUUCAUGUCAAUAUUAAAUAUUUCCACAACUAAAGGGAGACAUGAUGGCCCAUUGUAGCUUUUCUACCUAUAUCAAGUUAGGGAGGAAGAUAUUACAUAUAUUAAUUCAUUGUCAUGACUAGUUGAUGUCUAGACUUUUGUUUAGCAACUGUAUUAUUAUUUAGGAGACCUUGACUUUGGCAUCAACUAUGAAAUAGAACAAUGGAUCAGUCUACACGCCAACCUCAUGAUAGGAUGGUGGAUUCCUCCUCUCUCUUUCCUGGAAGAUAUAAAUUUGGUGUGGAAGUAGUCAAAUAAACAAAAAGUCAUCUUUAUUACAUUGUUUGCUGUGUUUCUUGCUUCUACUUGAUGAAUGGUUUAUAGUCUAUCAAAAGACUUUGACUUAGCGUCAAUUGACACAAAUUAUUUGCAAACUAAAAAACUAUCGGUUAUGCAAGGGAAUAAGAAUAUAUAAUUUAUUCUUUAUUUAAUUAUUGAUUUCAUUAUAUGAUGAUAUUUGUUUAUUUUUUGUUAAAUAUUUGAUAAAUAUGCAUUUUUUAAAACUUAAUUACUAAGAGAAAGGUAUACUAAUAAUUUUGUUAUUUUUCUCGGCUAUAAUUUUUUUUUAAAAGGAAUGUUAAAAUUAGUGGACUUUUUUUAUCAAGUAAAAUAGGUAUGGGUGUUUUAUUCCUUCCUCAAACGAUUUAGUUUUCAAUCUUGACAAAAAAUUUGGUAUAAUAUUUUUAAUUUUUUGUAAAAUUUAUAAACUUUAGUUAGAUUUUAAAAAAUUUAUACUGAUUUAUCCAAAAAAGAACCGAAAAUUUUUUUAAAGCUCCUGACAUAAAAAUUAUUAAAUUUUAUAAUUGCAAUGAGCUGCGACCAAACUCAAAGGAAGUUGGCUCAAGGGGAAUGAUCAGGUCUGAUCUAUUCCCAUAGUUGUAGACCUGCUCAUAGCUUUAGGUAAGGGAUUUGUCCAAAAUUUACUGUUAAAUGAGAAUAAAAUUAUCCCAGCCCCAAGAUAGAAAAAUGCGGGAGAAGUUGGUGUUCAAUUAUAGGAGGCCGAUAACAACAGGCCCUAUUGAUAUUGCCACGGCCCAAGAGAUUAAUGUUCACAAAUAGGAGCCGAAACUGCCUGGACCUCUUAGUUAUGAAGACGACCGAGCCCAAAGGUUCAUGGUGACUACAACAAAGAAAAGGCAGGCUUGGACUACUGUGAUCAUACAAUAUGGGCAGCACUGUUUCAGGACAUGAAGCCCACUUGACUUGACCAUACGUCUUUCUUAGUUUUGUCUGGAAAGGUGAGAUCAAAUGUUUUCUCCAAUAAUAGGGACAAGCCUUAUGUCUGGUAACAAUUGCUUUUUAGGUCCAAUAUUAGCAUAUUCAAGUAGUGUGGGACAGUUUUUCUGUGAUCAACACGCAUGCCAUAGUCUAUAUUCUUUUCGAGUUCAUCUAAUCUAAACUUUCAAGAACUAUAUACAUGCUUUAAGCUUUCUGGUUUCAUGGGAUCUUCAUUAGUUGUAAAAUCCUUCAUAUCGGCAACCAUCAUGCCUUGCAAUGAAAAAAAAAAUCUAUAGAUUGUGAGCUGUGAGCUUUCUUAGAACUUCUUUGCCGAUUUCAAUGUGUGCAUCUUUUUGUGCUAAAUGAAACCAGUUCAUGAACUGACUAUCAUAGUUCCAUCAGCAGACAUGCUCAGCUCAGCUAUGGUCUGAAAAUGAAGAUUAAACUGAUAGAAAGGAUGGUACCCAUAUCUUCAAUAUCGUAAGGUGUUUUACACUGUAUGCUGCUUGACAGUAAUGUUUUGAGGUGUAGACGUUAACUAGCGGCUAUAAAACAAUACAACUAGUUUCAUCUUCCAUUGCAAUGUGGUCGAUUUGGCUUAGUCGAAUUCUUUAAUUCUUUAACAUAUGUCUGCCAGUGCCUUCAAAGUUGCAAUGAAUGCCAACCUCUUUUAUUCAAUUUAACUAAACAUUGUAGCCCACGGUAUCUACAUUCUUUAAAUUCCUGUCCAUAAAUACAAAGAAAUAUAACCCUCUGUCUGUUCGUAUAAACAAAGGGCCCCACCCUGCUGGCAAAUACACAAGACAAUAAAUAACUAAAUAAAUAAAAACAAUAGCAAAAAUUAAAGGCUACACCUUGCUUGUUUUGCAUGGAUUCAGAGGUUUGCUAAUUCUUGACAAAAGUUGAAAAGCCUCCUUAAAAGUUGAGAAACAAUUGGGAUUAGGAGUUUUAUAGCAUUGGCCUUUUGCACUAGGAGAUGGACGACUUAAAGGAACAGGUAUGGUAAUUGGAAUUUUAGAUGUUUGCAAGAGUUGCUGAGAAUUUAGGAUACCAGUAACUAAUCACAAGAGGUAAGGAUUUAAUGAUGAUAAUGAACAACAAAUUUUAUGAAUUUAUAUGCUUGGAAUUUCUUAUAUAUUAAUGACCAAUUAAUGUAUUUGAAAGCUUUUAUGAAUUUACAUAAUAAUUCAAGUUGAAGGAGCUAUUAUCUAAAUACUUUUAUAGAAUAAAAAAAAUCAGAAAAGCAGUAUCUAAUAAACAAAUUAUUUAUUCUAAGUAAAUUGAUGAAGAUAUAUUGGCCAUUUCCUUACUGUUUUUUAGGCAAAAUGAAGAGAUUUUCGGUUAUAGAUCACUAAAUGUAUGCUACUGUACAUAAUUCUUUUAUGACAUUUUGUGUUUGAAACCAAAUGACUCAAUACAUAUAUCAAUAUAUAUAUAUAUAUAUAUAUAUAUAUUUUGAGGUUAGGCAGAUCUAACAAAACCAAAAUUCAAUGAAAAAAGGAAUACAGAAUUAGACAAAGAGCCCCAACAUGUCGUUUUCUUUUUCUUCUAGUAGAAGCACGAUAGAAAGAGUGGCAACUUAUCCAUUUGAAAUAACAACCAGCCAUGGCAUCACCCACCCUCUUGAUGCCAUUUUUGAGAAGAAUACAAACAAAUAUUUUCCUUAGCAGUAGGCCCUUUGAAGAAAAUCUACAAAUCAUCAAGAAAACUUCUUUUGAAGAAUUGUUUUCCUGGUUUCAACGUCAUCUGAACUGACCAAAUUCACAGGUUGGAUAAGAAGAUUGAAACAUAAAAACACAGUUUCUUCACAAAGAGACAAACAAUAUUGUUGAAUUCCUUAACGCCACUUGCCAACUCAUUGUCAUACACAUCAUUGUUUUGUAAGAACUAUGAAACAAGAACUGGCAUAGAGAAUUUUAAAACCUUUCAAAACUCCAAUCCAUCCUUAUCCUAUCAUGAAAGAAAAAAGGAAAAAACAGAUCGAAUCGAUUAUCAUCAUCGUCAUCAAUAAUCCCUCGUGGCUGGUUCAUGCACAUGGGGCUUGUCAAUUAUUGUCUUGACCCUCAAAAAUAGAAUGAAAAGUACUUCAAAAAUUUUCACUGACAUUGAAGAGCCCACUCGAAAGUGCGAAAUUAGUAAACUACAAUUGCAAAAUUUAGUACAUCAGCAUCAGCUCAUCUGAUCUGAAAGUUGUAAAACAAACACCAAUUCCUGAGUCAAAUGAUCUCUAAGAUAUUUGAUGAUGAUGAUGAUGAUGAUUAGAUCGAAGGGAAACAAUAUUUGGUUGUAUGGUGCUUACAUCACAGGGAAGUUUGAUCCAUCUUUUUGGCUUUGGGUGAGAAUCUGACAGGCAACAUGGACCUCCUCUCAACUGGCCAAAAACUGCUAUGAUCACUUGGAAAAAUUUUCUUUGCAAAGUAGAUAUGAAUGGUCCCAUAUGCAGGCUGUUGCAAAGCCAUCACAGCUUUCAUAUGGUAUGUGGGUUGGCCAGCGUUUUCCCUUUCACAAUUUGAAGGCUUUCAGUUUUCUGGACCCAUUUGGGAAUUGGGAGCCAUCAAAAUAAAGAAAAAAAAAGUUUUAAUUUUACAAAUUUCAUUAUUUGCGAGAAAUUAAGUUUGCGUGAUAGGAGUAUUAAUCCAAGUUAACAGCAUUUACAGCUAUACGUACGGGAAAAUUUUAAAAUAUAUAUAUUUUUUGAAUUGAUAGAUUAAAUUCUUUUUCAUAGAAAAGAAAUGAGUGAACGAUCAUUUCUAUUAAAAGAAAAAGAGUAGUAUAAAAUAUUGAAGAUUUAAUUAUAAAGUGAGUAGUUACUAAAAUUUAAUUAUAAAGAAAAUUUAUUAUUUUUUAGAUUAAUUAAUAUAUGAUUGAAAUUGAUAUUUAAAAGUUAUAGAUUUGAAUAAAUUUAAGUAUAUAAUAUUUUAUUCAACCACCUUUGUAAUUAGAU
This 32121-nucleotide long non-coding RNA is filed under the name Durio zibethinus. Its description in RNAcentral is "long non-coding RNA (DZIB_LNC000469)". Lineage: Eukaryota; Viridiplantae; Streptophyta; Magnoliopsida; Malvales; Malvaceae. The record is from RNAcentral.